RNAcentral lists this ribosomal RNA (253 nucleotides) under uncultured bacterium. RNAcentral describes it as "partial 16S ribosomal RNA". It matches the Rfam family "Bacterial small subunit ribosomal RNA", at positions 524 to 776 of the family's 1533-position model. The record is from RNAcentral.
UACGUAGGUGGCAAGCGUUGUCCGGAUUUAUUGGGCGUAAAGCGCGCGUAGGCGGUUUCUUAAGUCUGAUGUGAAAGCCCACGGCUCAACCGUGGAGGGUCAUUGGAAACUGGGAGACUUGAGUGCAGAAGAGGAAAGUGGAAUUCCAUGCGUAGCGGUGAAAUGCGUAGAUAUAUGGAGGAACACCAGUGGCGAAGGCGGCUCUCUGGUCUGUAACUGACGCUGAUGUGCGAAAGCGUGGGGAUCAAACAGG